Molecule: long non-coding RNA, 432 nt
Organism: Musa acuminata AAA Group (dessert banana)
Lineage: Eukaryota; Viridiplantae; Streptophyta; Magnoliopsida; Zingiberales; Musaceae
Exons: 2
Source: RefSeq, a predicted model, not a curated record
GGGAUCGUGCUUCACGCCGCUGUGACGAAGCUCUCCCGGAAAGAUCUCCGGAUCGACACGGAGCACCUCCACCAUCCUCUCUGCUCUCUCCUUUCCUCCCUCCGUUGGAGAGAAAAAUGGCUGCUUUUGGACUCUGCUUUGAGAGAGAAUAAUUUUGGAGCUUCCUCCGCUGGAUAAUCUCGUUUUCAUUCCCGUAAUGGCCUCCUCACAUACUGCUGAUUCCCGCACUACUCCAGAAACGUUUCUGCCAUUUGUUACACUGAAGCAUGUCACCAGAAGCUUUCAAUUCCCAAAACAUAUCUAAUUUAAUCUUAAAAAUUGUUUUUUGAUCUAUGAAACAGGUUGUUUAUUAAAUCCGUGAUGCCAUCAUAUUGUCAAAAAACGAUUUUUAUCUCUCUAUAUAUUAUAUAUUUCCGUGUGCCUAUCAUUCUA